GCCGAUGUGGCUCAGUGGUAGAGCAGCUGAUUCGUAAUCAGCAGGUCGUGGGUUCAAAUCCCAUCAUCGGCU
RNAcentral lists this transfer RNA (72 nucleotides) under Nostoc sp. Its description in RNAcentral is "tRNA-Thr". It matches the Rfam family "tRNA". From Rfam's summary of the family: Transfer RNA (tRNA) molecules are approximately 80 nucleotides in length. Their secondary structure includes four short double-helical elements and three loops (D, anti-codon, and T loops). Further hydrogen bonds mediate the characteristic L-shaped molecular structure. tRNAs have two regions of fundamental functional importance: the anti-codon, which is responsible for specific mRNA codon recognition, and the 3' end, to which the tRNAs corresponding amino acid is attached (by aminoacyl-tRNA synthetases). tRNAs cope with the degeneracy of the genetic code in two manners: having more than one tRNA (with a specific anti-codon) for a particular amino acid; and 'wobble' base-pairing, i.e. permitting non-standard base-pairing at the 3rd anti-codon position. The record is from RNAcentral. RNAcentral also lists the same sequence under 2 other names. Lineage: Bacteria; Bacillati; Cyanobacteriota; Cyanophyceae; Nostocales; Nostocaceae.